Molecule: long non-coding RNA, 883 nt
Organism: Symphalangus syndactylus (siamang)
Lineage: Eukaryota; Metazoa; Chordata; Mammalia; Primates; Hylobatidae
Source: RefSeq, a predicted model, not a curated record
UGUUGCUCAGGCUGGUCUUGAACUCCUGACCUCAAGGGAUCCUCCUGCUCUGGCUUCCCAAGUAGUUAGGAUUACAGGAUUCAUUUGAAGCAGCCCACAGGGACGGGUGACACUGAGGAAACAAAACCCAGUCCCCCCGGCCUCCGACUGAGCGGUGCAGAGCAUGCUGGGAGAUCACCUCCACCUGAGGAGCACAAAAGACCCCAGGAGUGGAGGAAGCUGGCCUGAGGCCAACCGGACGUAGCAGACUUGCUGGGUCCAAGGAGGGAGAUCUGGUGAUGGAGCCUCGAGUACAUAUCCUUCCGAUCCUAAGCAGCCACAGAAGACAGACACAUACAAGAAGAGCCCUUCAGCUUGCUGCCUGGUUUUGACUCAGACUUGAUGCCCUCAGAACUUGGAAGACUGCAGGUUGAUUGCUCAUUGGUUGCUCACUUUUAGGCAGUCUGCCUUAUGAAAUAAGCUACAGUGGAUUCUAAAGCUGUACUGAAGUAUGUCUAAGGAGAAAAGAUUUACAAGGGACCUCAACGUUUUUUUCUCAAUCCUUCAUCACUGAAGUGCUUUAGAAUCUUGCUACUCAAAGUGUGGUCCCUAGCCAGCAGCUGCAGUGUCAUCUUGAAGCCAGGUAAAAUGCGGAAUCUCAAGGUGCACCCCAGAGCCACUGAAUCAGAAUCUCCAUUUUAAUAAGAUCCCCCGGAGAUGUAUGUGCACAUUAAAGUUGGAGACACUAUUUUAGAGAUCUUAUUGCAUCACUCCAUCUUUCCAGAAGUCUCCAGAAUAAAGAAAUGAAUUCAGACUUAGAACUACCUAAGAGGAGAAGGAAAAUGUUGAGGAACUGAAAAGGAAUUCUUGAGAAUGAGAAAAUGACAGCAUCAAAAGAAAGGGG